This 327-nucleotide unclassified non-coding RNA is filed under the name uncultured fungus. RNAcentral's name for it is "partial contains 5.8S ribosomal RNA and internal transcribed spacer 2". Lineage: Eukaryota; Fungi. The record is from RNAcentral.
UCAGCGGGUGUUCCUAUCUAAUUCGAGGCCAAAAUACGUUUUUAAACAAGGCUAGAUUGAUUUAGUUAUUCACUCAUAAUUUAACCACAGUUCAUUGUGAUUAGAGUUUGUAAAAAAAACUAAUGCCAAUACAUUUGAGACUGCUACUAUUUAAAGUAGCAUGUCCAACACAAGACAAAGUCUUAUUAUUUAAAACGGCGCUCGAACAGACAUACCUUAAGGAAUACCAAAAGGUGCAAUGUGCGUUCAAAAAUUCGAUGAUUCACUAUAUCUGCAAUUCACAUUACUUAUCGCAUUUCGCUGCGUUCUUCAUCNAUGCCAGAACCA